GAAAUGCGAUAAGUAAUGUGAAUUGCAGAAUUCAGUGAAUCAUCGAAUCUUUGAACGCACCUUGCGCUCCUUGGUAUUCCUUGGAGCAUGCCUGUUUGAGUAUCAUGAAAUCUUCAAAGUAAAUCUUUUGUUAACACAAUUGGUUUCUACUUUGGUAUUGGAGGUCUUUGCAGCUUCACACCUGCUCCUCUUUGUUCAUUAGCUGGAUCUCAGUGUUAUGCUUGGUUCCACUCGGCGUGAUAAGUUAUCUAUCGCUGAGGACACUGUAAAAGGUGGCCAAGGUAAAUGCAGAUGAACCGCUUCUAAUAGUCCAUUGACUUGGACAAUACUUUUAUGAUCUGAUCUCAAAUCAGGUAGGACUACCCGCUGAACUUAAGC
Molecule: unclassified non-coding RNA, 378 nt
Filed under: plant metagenome
Description: partial contains 5.8S ribosomal RNA, internal transcribed spacer 2, and large subunit ribosomal RNA
Rfam family: 5.8S ribosomal RNA (bases 1-105)
Source: RNAcentral